UGGGGAAUUUUGCGCAAUGGGGGAAAGUCUGACGCAGCAACGCCGCGUGAGUGAUGAAGGCCUUCGGGUUGUAAAGCUCUGAUGAGGGAAGAAUGUACUUGUAUAUUUUCUAUUCCCGGACCCCGGUAAUCUGCCGCGCCUAG
RNAcentral lists this ribosomal RNA (143 nucleotides) under uncultured bacterium. Its description in RNAcentral is "partial 16S ribosomal RNA". It matches the Rfam family "Bacterial small subunit ribosomal RNA", at positions 355 to 500 of the family's 1533-position model. The record is from RNAcentral.